RNAcentral lists this ribosomal RNA (497 nucleotides) under uncultured bacterium. RNAcentral describes it as "partial 16S ribosomal RNA". It matches the Rfam family "Bacterial small subunit ribosomal RNA", at positions 28 to 507 of the family's 1533-position model. The record is from RNAcentral.
GAUGAACGCUGGCGGCGUGCCUAAUACAUGCAAGUCGAGCGAACGGACGAGAAGCUUGCUUCUCUGAUGUUAGCGGCGGACGGGUGAGUAACACGUGGAUAACCUACCUAUAAGACUGGGAUAACUUCGGGAAACCGGAGCUAAUACCGGAUAAUAUUUUGAACCGCAUGGUUCAAAAGUGAAAGACGGUCUUGCUGUCACUUAUAGAUGGAUCCGCGCUGCAUUAGCUAGUUGGUAAGGUAACGGCUUACCAAGGCAACGAUGCAUAGCCGACCUGAGAGGGUGGUCGCCCACAAUGGAACUGAGACACGGUCCAGAAUCCUACGGGAGGAAGCAGUAGGGAAUCUUCCGCAAUGGGCGAAAGCCUGACGGAGCAACGCCGCGUGAGUGAUGAAGGUCUUCGGAUCGUAAAACUCUGUUAUUAGGGAAGAACAUAUGUGUAAGUAACUGUGCACAUCGUGACGGUACCUAAUCAGAAAGCCACGGCUAACUCCGUG